Pelodiscus sinensis (Chinese soft-shelled turtle) is the source of this 293-nucleotide non-coding RNA. The record is from RefSeq and is a predicted model, not a curated record. NCBI's taxonomy places the organism in Eukaryota, Metazoa, Chordata, Testudines, Trionychidae.
UGGGUGAUGCCACACUGGGGACCCUGGCAGUCUUAGUGCUGCUGUGUGUCGGGUUCAACACAGCCAGCCUGCUCUGGCUGCACCUCAGACCCCUUGUCCAGGAUCUGCUCUGCCUCCUCAUCCCCAAAGUGGGCGUUUGGAUGGGACCAGCUGCCGCCCGGGCCAGGCCUGGCUGCCUUCCAGCAGUGCCAGAGGUCUGGGGGGCCCCCAGCACCUCGGAGGCCAACCAAAGACCCCGAAAGAGGAUCCAUCGAAGCUCUCCCCACACCCUAGCCAGUGGCCCCUUGGGCACA